GCGAUGCGGCGUCUAUACAUGCAGUCGAGCGAACAGAGAGGAGCUUGCUCCUUUGACGUUAGCGGCGGACGGGUGAGUAACACGUGGGCAACCUACCUUAUAGUUUGGGAUAACUCCGGGAAACCGGGGCUAAUACCGAAUAAUCUAUUUCACUUCAUGGUGAAAUACUGAAAGACGGCUUCUCCUUGUCCCUUUAAAAUGGGCCCGCGGCGCAUUACCUAGUUGGGGAGGUAACGGUUCACCAAGGCAACAAUGCGUACCCAACCUGAAAGGGGGAUCGGCCCCCCGGGGACUGAAACCCGGCCCAAACUCCUACGGAAGGCAGCAUUAGGGAAUCUUCCACAAGGGGCAAAACCCUGAUGGACCACCCCCGCGGGAUUGAAAAAGGUUUUCGAAUCGUAAAACUCUGUUGUAAGGAAAAACCAAUUCCAGUAUUAACUGGUUGUACCUUGACGGUCCCUUAUUAGAAAGCCACGGCUAACUACGUGCAACCACCGGCGGUAAUACGUAGGUGGCAGCGUUGUCGGGAUUAUUGGGCGUAAAGCGCGCGCAGCGGUCCUUAAGUCUGAUGUGAAAGCCCAGGCUCAACCGUGGAGGGUCAUUGAAACUGGGGGGACUUGAGUGCAGAAGAGAAAGUGGAUUCCAGUGUAGCGGUGAAAUGCGUAGAGAUUUGAAGGACCACCAGUGCCGAGGCGACUUUCUGUCUGUAACUGACGCUGAGGCGCGAAAGCGUGGGAGCCAACAGGAUUAGA
Molecule: ribosomal RNA, 752 nt
Filed under: Lysinibacillus sphaericus
Lineage: Bacteria; Bacillati; Bacillota; Bacilli; Caryophanales; Bacillaceae
Description: bacterial SSU rRNA
Rfam family: Bacterial small subunit ribosomal RNA
Source: RNAcentral